GGGAAGUUAGCUCAGUUGGUUAGUAGAACACGCCUGAUAAGCGUGAGGUCGGUGGUUCGAGUCCACUACUUCCCACCA
This 78-nucleotide transfer RNA is filed under the name Clostridia bacterium. RNAcentral describes it as "tRNA-Ile". It matches the Rfam family "tRNA". From Rfam's summary of the family: Transfer RNA (tRNA) molecules are approximately 80 nucleotides in length. Their secondary structure includes four short double-helical elements and three loops (D, anti-codon, and T loops). Lineage: Bacteria; Bacillati; Bacillota; Clostridia. The record is from RNAcentral.